CAAUGGGGGAACCCUGAUGCAGCGACGCCGCGNUGNAAGGAAGAAGUAUCUCGNUCCNCUNAAACUUCNGUGANAANAGGGNAAGAUAGUGACGGUACCUGACUUCCAAGCCCCGGCUAACUACGUGCCAGCAGCCGCGGUAAUACGUAGGGGGCAAGCGUUAUCCGGAUUUACUGGGUGUAAAGGGAGCGUAGACGGACUGGCAAGUCUGAUGUGAAAGGCGGGGGCUCAACCCCUGGACUGCAUUGGAAACUGUUAGUCUUGAGUGCCGGAGAGGUAAGCGGAAUUCCUAGUGUAGCGGUGAAAUGCGUAGAUAUUAGGAGGAACACCAGUGGCGAAGGCGGCUUACUGGACGGUAACUGACGUUGAGGCUCGAAAGCGUGGGGAGCAAACAGGAUUAGAUACCCUGGUAGUCUAAGGGCGAAUUC
This 428-nucleotide ribosomal RNA is filed under the name uncultured bacterium. RNAcentral describes it as "partial small subunit ribosomal RNA". It matches the Rfam family "Bacterial small subunit ribosomal RNA", at positions 369 to 808 of the family's 1533-position model. The record is from RNAcentral.